ACUAAAACAAUGUAAAAGCCUUAACCAAGUAGGCUUACAGAAUAUCAAAACCAUCAAGUUUGAACUAGAGAUAAGAGUUGAAUAGUCUUGCCUGCUCAUCUUAAUCAAGAUAGGAUUGCUUUCAAGCCUGACACUGAUAUUACAGCACUCAAGGACAUGAUAGAGAUACGAAUGGAAUGUAUGCAAUUUCAUUUACAAUUCUAGAGGUUACCAUGGUGGCAGAGGCAAACACCGGGCUGACAGCUGAGUAGAGAGGGAUAAGGGGAGGAGAGGCUGACUGCUCUGUCCCGCAAGGCUCUUUAGGAGGAGACAUCUUUCAAACUCCCAGCCUCCCUCUGAGAACUUUGUAAUGCAGUGAACCAUGCAGGACCUAAGGCACUGUGGGUUCUCUAUGUGCAAAUGGUUCCUGGGUUUUUUCUAUCAGUGUUGAUGGCCUGACUGUUCAAGCACACACUGUAGAGAUAAGAUGACAAGCAUUGACUCAUACCUUGUGUGUUUACAUCUUAGAAUUGGGAGGGUCAGUAAAGUUCCCUUCACCUCUUUGUGAAUGUGAAAAGGUAAUCACACCCUGCUAAUGUUUGACAAUGUCAUAAAACAAGAAGUGUAGUGUU
Molecule: long non-coding RNA, 611 nt
Organism: Oncorhynchus masou masou (cherry salmon)
Lineage: Eukaryota; Metazoa; Chordata; Actinopteri; Salmoniformes; Salmonidae
Exons: 3
Source: RefSeq, a predicted model, not a curated record